GCUGAAGGUCAGCUAAAUAGCUUUCAUUAAUCGGUAAAAAGAUUUAGAUACCCCCUUUUAUAAUUAACCAAUUACAAGGAUAAACUUUGUCAUUCUCCAUCAGACCCGACUUCGUUUCAUCCUCUCCGGCGAAGAACGUCUCCGGCGAAGAAUGUCUACGGCGAAAAACACGAAGCUGCUACCAUCUCCGGCAAAGAACAAGAACCUCUGAUUCUCCACCGACGCCAUCAUGGUAAAAGCAAAUCUUGGCUACAAAAGAAGAAAGACGAUCUCGUGAAGUUAUUCUUUGGUAAGAGGUUUUGAAUCUCGUUGUUCCUCUUUCUUCUCUGAUAAUUGCUUGUGAUUUAGAACUACAUGAGAAGUGAUUUGCGAUAUAUAUGGUUGUGGUUCUGUGAGAUCUUCAUUUUGUGGUUUUGUUGAUUCUCUGAUUCCUAAGAAAGAGUCUAAGGCCAGUUUGUAGCUGAAGAGAAACACCAUUACACGAGAAGUUGUUCUGGUAAAGACAAAGCUAUGUUAUGUUUGCUGUCCAGGGAGGGAAAGAGCCUUGAAAGUUGUUGGAGGUCAAAUCAAAGGCUGCUAAAUUUGGGAACACAAGGUUUUGAGGACACUAACACGAUGAGAGUUUCAGUACCUCUCAGGCUAGCACUGCAUGAGCUGAAGUAUCCUAUUGGUUCGGAGCCAAGGCAAAACAUUUGGAGAUUUAUGUUGUAAAAUUUUCAUAUUUCUGAAUGUAACAAGAAAGCAUUUUACAUAUUCUGGAUAACUUUACAAAACUAAAAAAAAAUAGAAAAAAUGUUAUAGA
This is a long non-coding RNA of Brassica oleracea var. oleracea, 802 nucleotides long. RefSeq lists it as uncharacterized. The record is from RefSeq and is a predicted model, not a curated record. Lineage: Eukaryota; Viridiplantae; Streptophyta; Magnoliopsida; Brassicales; Brassicaceae. The transcript is spliced from 3 exons.